RNAcentral lists this small nucleolar RNA (124 nucleotides) under Meriones unguiculatus (Mongolian gerbil). RNAcentral describes it as "Small nucleolar RNA SNORA17 (ENSMUGG00000022150.1)". It matches the Rfam family "Small nucleolar RNA SNORA17". From Rfam's summary of the family: snoRNA ACA 17 belongs to the H/ACA family of snoRNAs and is predicted to guide pseudouridylation of the 28S rRNA at positions U4659 and U4598. Lineage: Eukaryota; Metazoa; Chordata; Mammalia; Rodentia; Muridae. The record is from RNAcentral.
ACUGCCUCGAGGGGUGUGUGGCAGGUAUGUCUGCUGUGUCACAUGUGAUUCAGAAGGUGGCGAAGAGGAGAGAGGCUAUGUCUGUACUCAGUGAACGUUCCCUGAAAAAAGCAAGCCUGAGACG